Molecule: unclassified non-coding RNA, 303 nt
Filed under: uncultured fungus
Lineage: Eukaryota; Fungi
Description: partial contains small subunit ribosomal RNA, internal transcribed spacer 1, and 5.8S ribosomal RNA
Rfam family: Eukaryotic small subunit ribosomal RNA (bases 1-73)
Source: RNAcentral
GCAAACUUGGUCAUUUAGAGGAAGUAAAAGUCGUAACAAGGUUUCCGUAGGUGAACCUGCGGAAGGAUCAUUACAGACCCGCCCGGCGGGUCGACCGCCCGCGAGGGAGGCCGACCCGCGGGCACCCAACCCAACACCCUUGACCCUUUGAGCACCCGUGUAUUCCCCCGGCGGGGCAACCCGCCGGCCGGGACACCCAAACCGAACCCCUUCGCAUCAGCAGUGUCCCCUCAGUACAGAAACAAAACAAUCAAAACUUUCAACAAUGGAUCUCUUGGCUCUGGCAUCGAUGAAGAACGCAGC